This 485-nucleotide ribosomal RNA is filed under the name uncultured bacterium. Its description in RNAcentral is "partial 16S ribosomal RNA". It matches the Rfam family "Bacterial small subunit ribosomal RNA", at positions 28 to 523 of the family's 1533-position model. The record is from RNAcentral.
GACGAACGCUGGCGGCGUGCUUAACACAUGCAAGUCGAACGGUGAAGGUGGAGCUUGCUCCGCCGGAUCAGUGGCGAACGGGUGAGUAACACGUGGGCAACCUGCCCCUCACUUCGGGAUAACUCCGGGAAACCGGGGCUAAUACCGGAUACGACCUCCUUGGGCAUCCUGGGAGGUGGAAAGUUUUUCGGUGAGGGAUGGGCCCGCGGCCUAUCAGCUUGUUGGUGAGGUAGUGGCUCACCAAGGCGACGACGGGUAGCCGGCCUGAGAGGGCGACCGGCCACACUGGGACUGAGACACGGCCCAGACUCCUACGGGAGGCAGCAGUGGGGAAUAUUGCGCAAUGGGCGAAAGCCUGACGCAGCAACGCCGCGUGCGGGAUGAAGGCCUUCGGGUUGUAAACCGCUUUCAGCAGGGAAGAAGCCGCAAGGUGACGGUACCUGCAGAAGAAGCACCGGCUAACUACGUGCCAGCCACCGCAGUAA